CCGGGGUACACAGUGCUGGGAGGUUUCGAGGGGGUGUAUCCAGCCGGAUCCCUGCUGUAGUCAUCACCUGAGUUGGAUGGAUACACCGAGGAGGGGAGUCCAGGAGGCACCUUCCGAACCUUUUUGGGCUGUCCAUCUAUGCUGCUCUCAGCACCUCUCCUGCGAGGGUUGUUGGGGUAAGAAAAAUACUGCGACCCCCCCUUCACUCCUGUGGGGGAAAGCGUGCUCGGACUGGCGAUUCCCAUCUCGCUGGGCAGGAAACCAGUCUGGCUCAGUCCUGGCAUCCCGGCGUCCCUUCCGAACGUGGAGUACGAGGCUCUUUCACCGCUCUUCCCCACUAGUCCAGGUCCCAGGAAUGGAGAUGAAGACAAGCUGUUGUGCGACGGCAGGUCCCGGUGCUCGCCGUAGUGGGGGCCUUCACCAUAGCUCCUUCCUUGGUCAAACGUGGAGCUGUUUUGAUCUCCCGUUCCCCAGGAACCCGAUCCCGGUCUUUCAUCCAAACCUGAUCCUCCAAACUGAGUGCUUGCUAGGGUCGUGGGUCUGUUUUUUCCAUUAGCCACUGGCAGGGGAAACAUCAUACUGAAGUCCAGCAGGUCACUGAGCUCUUUGUCUGUCCCAACUGCAGCCAUUCUCUGCUGCUGCUGAUUCAUACUCCCACAGACUCAACAGUGGCAGUCCUGUUCCGGGGCCGAACCGAGCCCGCGGUGCGUGUGCGCGGGGAGGAGCGGCGGCCGCGCAUGAAGGUCCCGCGGAGCUCAGGGCCCGCUCCGGGCCCGGUGCGGGGCCGGCGGGCGGCGGCGGCUCCUAUUGUUCUGCGCCGCCGGCGGGGUACGGCGCAGCGAAGCGGCGCGCUGAGCUCCGGCCCGGGCGGCGCGUGCGCCCCGGCCCGCCCCGCGCCCCCGCCCCCGGCGCGCCGGGCCCCAGCGCAACCGCCC
This 935-nucleotide long non-coding RNA is filed under the name Gallus gallus (chicken). Lineage: Eukaryota; Metazoa; Chordata; Aves; Galliformes; Phasianidae. The record is from RNAcentral.